RNAcentral lists this transfer RNA (91 nucleotides) under Acinetobacter sp. RNAcentral's name for it is "tRNA-Ser". It matches the Rfam family "tRNA". Rfam says of the family: Transfer RNA (tRNA) molecules are approximately 80 nucleotides in length. Their secondary structure includes four short double-helical elements and three loops (D, anti-codon, and T loops). The record is from RNAcentral. Lineage: Bacteria; Pseudomonadati; Pseudomonadota; Gammaproteobacteria; Moraxellales; Moraxellaceae.
GGUGAAGUGUCCGAGGGGCUGAAGGAGCACGCCUGGAAAGUGUGUAUACGUUAAUAGCGUAUCGAGGGUUCGAAUCCCUCUUUCACCGCCA